GGUUGUAAAGCACUUUCAGUAGAGAAGAAAAGCUUACGGAUAAUACCCGUGAGUCUUGACGUAACCUACAGAAGAAGCACCGGCUAACUCCGUGCCAGCAGCCGCGGUAAUACGGAGGGUGCAAGCGUUAAUCGGAAUUACUGGGCGUAAAGCGCACGCAGGCGGUUGAGUCAGUCGGAUGUGAAAGCCCCGGGCUUAACCUGGGAAUUGCAUUCGAUACUACUCGACUAGAGUAUGGGAGAGGGAAGUGGAAUUUCCGGUGUAGCGGUGAAAUGCGUAGAUAUCGGAAGGAACACCAGUGGCGAAGGCGACUUCCUGGCCCAAUACUGACGCUCAGGUGCGAA
This 344-nucleotide ribosomal RNA is filed under the name uncultured Ectothiorhodospiraceae bacterium. Its description in RNAcentral is "bacterial SSU rRNA". It matches the Rfam family "Bacterial small subunit ribosomal RNA", at positions 421 to 757 of the family's 1533-position model. Lineage: Bacteria; Pseudomonadati; Pseudomonadota; Gammaproteobacteria; Chromatiales; Ectothiorhodospiraceae. The record is from RNAcentral.